GCCUACGGGGGGCAGCAGUGGGGAAUUUUGCGCAAUGGGGGAAACCCUGACGCAGCAACGCCGCGUGCGGGACGAAGGCCCUCGGGUCGUAAACCUCUGUCAGCAGGGAAGAACGGUCACUGUGCUAAUCAGCAGUGAAUUGACGGUACCUGCAAAGGAAGCACCGGCUAACUCCGUGCCAGCAGCCGCGGUAAUACGGAGGGUGCGAGCGUUAAUCGGAAUUACUGGGCGUAAAGCGCUCGUAGGCGGUAUGUCAAGUCAAGGGUGAAAUCCCCGCGCUCAACGUGGGAACUGCCUUUUAAACU
This 305-nucleotide ribosomal RNA is filed under the name uncultured bacterium. RNAcentral describes it as "bacterial SSU rRNA". It matches the Rfam family "Bacterial small subunit ribosomal RNA", at positions 337 to 634 of the family's 1533-position model. The record is from RNAcentral.